CCUUGCUCAAAAACAAAGUAACUUCUCUGUCAACCAAAGAAAGAAUAGAAGCAUACAAUGCCGAAUGGAAUACAAAGCCCAUAGUUUCAAAUAGAGGCAGAGACAGCUGGACAUUUGAGUCCUACAGGGAAAAGGAACCCCAAACCAUCCGUGCAUGCAUAUGUGGGGUGGGGGUGAUGGGUGGAAUAUUUAAUCAGUGUUUGUAAAGGUUGAAUUUAUAGGUUCUUUUACAAGAAAGAAGAGAGCUGCUUGGAGCUAAAUACCCCGAAGCAAAUAACCUACUGGAGAUGAAUAGAAGCUCUCUGCUGUAGAUGGGGUUUUCCUUCAUCCUGUCUACAUCACGUUUUUGUCAUUUGCCUCACAUCUAUAGCCUUUGGACUUCUCAUCUCUGCCAAAGGUAAUAGUAAAAACAAAUGAAUACCAUUAGUUUAGAAUUCCAAGCAGAAGUCAGCUGCUCAGGGCUCUGCACUUAGGUCACACCUGUUCUCCAUGGCAGAAACGUGGGCCAGAUGCUCCUUGAAGAAAGACUGCGACUGUGCAUGUCAACCACUACUUCUCAUACUGAAGCCUAGGAAGAAAUGUCAGAACUGGCCAAGGGAAGCUGACACCCUGCGAAACACACCCAGAUCCUGCUUUCCUAGGACAGAAAAAAUGACCUCUGGCCUCUCUUUGCAAACUUUAGUUAAGAGUUGGGAGUAAGAGAUUCAUGACCACCAAGAAAGGUAAGUUACUCACAUAUGUAUAGAUACAAUACUCUUAUUUUGUGCUCUUUUUUCUCCAAUCUUCAAUAAAUCACCUAAAAUAUAAUAAGACUUCUGUGCAGCCCGAUGGAGUAAACACUUCUGGAAUAAUUUUUCCUUCCCCAUUUCUCCAACAUCUUUCUUAUGACAUUUUUUUUUCCGAAAUUCAUUGGUCCUUG
This 919-nucleotide long non-coding RNA is filed under the name Pan paniscus (pygmy chimpanzee). RNAcentral describes it as "lncRNA (ENSPPAG00000045092.1)". The record is from RNAcentral. Lineage: Eukaryota; Metazoa; Chordata; Mammalia; Primates; Hominidae.